Molecule: ribosomal RNA, 497 nt
Filed under: uncultured bacterium
Lineage: Bacteria
Description: partial 16S ribosomal RNA
Rfam family: Bacterial small subunit ribosomal RNA
Source: RNAcentral
GAUGAACGCUGGCGGCGUGCCUAAUACAUGCAAGUCGAGCGAACAGACGAGGAGCUUGCUCCUCUGACGUUAGCGGCGGACGGGUGAGUAACACGUGGAUAACCUACCUAUAAGACUGGGAUAACUUCGGGAAACCGGAGCUAAUACCGGAUAAUAUAUUGAACCGCAUGGUUCAAUAGUGAAAGACGGUUUUGCUUUCCCUUAUAGUUGGAUCCCGCCCGCAUUAGUUAGUUGGUAAGGUAACGGCUUACCAAGGCAACGAUGCGUAGCCGACCUGAGAGGGUGAUCGGCCACACUGGAACUGAGACACGGUCCAGACUCCUACGGGAGGCAGCAGUAGGGAAUCUUCCGCAAUGGGCGAAAGCCUGACGGAGCAACGCCGCGUGAGUGAUGAAGGUCUUCGGAUCGUAAAACUCUGUUAUUAGGGAAGAACAAAUGUGUAAGUAACUAUGCACGUCUUGACGGUACCUAAUCAGAAAGCCACGGCUAACUACGUG